AAAAGCUCUGGAAAUCACGUACUGCUCAAUUCAAUUCAGAAGGUGUGAGUUCCUAAGGAGCAUUUUCACUUCCUUUCAAACUUAAAAAAUUGUGGUCCAAGGAAUGACAUGGGAUUCUGACUUUUUAUGACCCAUGCUAACUGAUUUGGUGACUUCUGCCAGUGCAGGAGGCUCGGAUUUUCCCCUGAAAGAGCGCCCUGCUCAUCUCAGAAAGGUUCAGGCUGUCGGGUCCAUUCCGCAAGGACUCGCUUCAUGUAUUUCCUUUACAAGUCAGAAAUGGAAAAAGAGGAAAUUACCAUCCCACAUCUUUUCUUGAUGUGUAUGAAUGCGUCUGCCUCCAACUCUGAGGGUUUCUUCUCCAAUCAGGAAAAAGUUGACAUUUGCCACCAAGUCAGUACGCUUCUAAGCUUUCAUUUUAUUUCAUCAGGACUGACUGAGCGUCAGCAUUCUGGCCGAGUCCUGCAGUUUUACCCACUGUGCAGGUCAGCGUUUUCUUCAAGGACUCUGGCCCUGGCUUGCUGGCAUCCUCAGAGUGUCUGGAUGUUACCCAGGGGCUUCCUCUCACCUCACCUUCAUUCUUGUUCCUUGUUCUUAGAUGGAUGGGAGGUUCAGUUGUUGGAAACUACCAGUUAGACUAAGAAAGCUGGACUUCUUUCAUACUCCUUAAGGCAAGUAGGGUAUAAGUAAGUGGCCUGUUGGCUGAUCUCAAACAUGAGAGAGCAUUAGGUUCAUUAAUAAUAUUCUGACUUUUUCUUAUCUAAGCCAGUUUACUGAUUAAGAAAUCAUCUGGUGAAAUUAAUCUCAAAUAUUUUUAAAUGCUCAAAGAACAUAUUGCUUCAGCUUCAUUAAAUACUUGUCUAAACACCUGGAAAAAAUUUCCACCUCCGUUUCACAAUACUUUGUGUAGUGAAACCUGAUGGAGUGAUAGUGUGUUAGUUAUUAUGGAAAUAUUGUGGACAAUUCACAAGCAGAGUGUUUGUUCCAUAAAAUUAAACCUGAAAUAUGUUUGCUUGCUCUUAAGUUAGAAGUAUUGACAAGCAGGAAACAAAAA
Long non-coding RNA from Homo sapiens (human), 1051 nucleotides. NCBI's taxonomy places the organism in Eukaryota, Metazoa, Chordata, Mammalia, Primates, Hominidae. The record is from Ensembl.